This 177-nucleotide ribosomal RNA is filed under the name Lactobacillus helveticus. RNAcentral describes it as "partial 16S ribosomal RNA". It matches the Rfam family "Bacterial small subunit ribosomal RNA", at positions 1191 to 1367 of the family's 1533-position model. The record is from RNAcentral. Lineage: Bacteria; Bacillati; Bacillota; Bacilli; Lactobacillales; Lactobacillaceae.
CAUCAUGCCCCUUAUGACCUGGGCUACACACGUGCUACAAUGGACAGUACAACGAGAAGCGAGCCUGCGAAGGCAAGCGAAUCUCUGAAAGCUGUUCUCAGUUCGGACUGCAGUCUGCAACUCGACUGCACGAAGCUGGAAUCGCUAGUAAUCGCGGAUCAGAACGCCGCGGUGAAU